CGAGAAAGCCCGCAAGGGUGAGUAAAGCGGCGCACGGGUGCGUAACACGUGGGUAAUCUGCCCUGGAGUCCGGAAUAACUCGCCGAAAAGCGUGCUAAUGCCGGAUGAGACCACGGGAGCCUUGGCUCCUGCGGAAAAAGGUGGCCUCUGUACACAAGCUAUCACUCCAGGAUGAGCCCGCGGCCCAUCAGCUAGUUGGCGGGGUAAUGGCCCACCAAGGCAACGACGGGUAGCUGGUCUGAGAGGACGAUCAGCCACACUGGAACUGAGACACGGUCCAGACUCCUACGGGAGGCAGCAGUGGGGAAUCUUGCGCAAUGGGCGAAAGCCUGACGCAGCAACGCCGCGUGUGUGAUGAAGGUCUUCGGAUCGUAAAGCACUGUCGCGAGGGACG
RNAcentral lists this ribosomal RNA (394 nucleotides) under uncultured Anaeromyxobacter sp. Its description in RNAcentral is "bacterial SSU rRNA". It matches the Rfam family "Bacterial small subunit ribosomal RNA", at positions 67 to 447 of the family's 1533-position model. Lineage: Bacteria; Pseudomonadati; Myxococcota; Myxococcia; Myxococcales; Anaeromyxobacteraceae. The record is from RNAcentral.